This 301-nucleotide unclassified non-coding RNA is filed under the name fungal sp. RNAcentral describes it as "partial contains 5.8S ribosomal RNA, internal transcribed spacer 2, and large subunit ribosomal RNA". The record is from RNAcentral. Lineage: Eukaryota; Fungi.
CGCAUCUUGCACUCUUUGGUUAUUCCGAAGAGUAUGCUUGUUUGAGUGUCGCGAAAUUCUCAACCCCGCCUUGCGCAAGCUUGGUAGUCUGGGCUUGGAUCCUGGCUUACUGUCGUUCGAAAGCACGACUAGGCUGAAAUAUAACAAGCUGAAUCGAACCCUAGUGCGGCUUGACCUGAUGUUGUAACUACCUCAUCGGGGACGUACUAUUGUGUUGAACGAGCUUUCAAACCCCCUUAUCAUUUGUCCUCGGACAAUGCCUAAUGACCUCAAAUCAAGUAGGACUACCCGCUGAACUUAA